UGUUGUGGUUGGGCAGUUGCGGAAUUUAUAGUUUCGAGGAAAGUCCGGACUCUAAAUAGAAAUAGUGCUGGGUAAUUCCCAGUGGGUUAGUUCCUAAGGAAAGUGCAGCAGAAAACAGACCGCCUAUUUUUUAUACAAAAUUUAGGUAAGGGUGAAAAGGUGAGGUAAGAGCUUACCGGAUUUGUGGUGACAUGAAUCGCAUUGUAAACCCCAUUAUGAGCAAGACCAAAUGAGCAUUAAAGAAUCUUUAUUCUUCUAAUUUUCUAUUAUUAGCUUAAUGCUAGGUAGGUCGCUAGAGAUAAAUAGCAAUAUUUAUUCCAGAGAAAUAACUGCAUAGGUUUUUACCUAACAGAAUCCGGCUUAUAGACCACAACUGCAA
This 379-nucleotide RNase P RNA is filed under the name Rickettsia sp. RNAcentral describes it as "Bacterial RNase P class A". It matches the Rfam family "Bacterial RNase P class A". Rfam says of the family: Ribonuclease P (RNase P) is a ubiquitous endoribonuclease, found in archaea, bacteria and eukarya as well as chloroplasts and mitochondria. Its best characterised activity is the generation of mature 5'-ends of tRNAs by cleaving the 5'-leader elements of precursor-tRNAs. Lineage: Bacteria; Pseudomonadati; Pseudomonadota; Alphaproteobacteria; Rickettsiales; Rickettsiaceae. The record is from Rfam by way of RNAcentral.